Molecule: ribosomal RNA, 1055 nt
Filed under: Escherichia coli
Lineage: Bacteria; Pseudomonadati; Pseudomonadota; Gammaproteobacteria; Enterobacterales; Enterobacteriaceae
Description: partial 23S ribosomal RNA
Rfam family: Bacterial large subunit ribosomal RNA
Source: RNAcentral
GGGCGUUAAGUUGCAGGGUAUAGACCCGAAACCCGGUGAUCUAGCCAUGGGCAGGUUGAAGGUUGGGUAACACUAACUGGAGGACCGAACCGACUAAUGUUGAAAAAUUAGCGGAUGACUUGUGGCUGGGGGUGAAAGGCCAAUCAAACCGGGAGAUAGCUGGUUCUCCCCGAAAGCUAUUUAGGUAGCGCCUCGUGAAUUCAUCUCCGGGGGUAGAGCACUGUUUCGGCAAGGGGGUCAUCCCGACUUACCAACCCGAUGCAAACUGCGAAUACCGGAGAAUGUUAUCACGGGAGACACACGGCGGGUGCUAACGUCCGUCGUGAAGAGGGAAACAACCCAGACCGCCAGCUAAGGUCCCAAAGUCAUGGUUAAGUGGGAAACGAUGUGGGAAGGCCCAGACAGCCAGGAUGUUGGCUUAGAAGCAGCCAUCAUUUAAAGAAAGCGUAAUAGCUCACUGGUCGAGUCGGCCUGCGCGGAAGAUGUAACGGGGCUAAACCAUGCACCGAAGCUGCGGCAGCGACGCUGAUGCGUUGUUGGGUAGGGGAGCGUUCUGUAAGCCUGCGAAGGUGUGCUGUGAGGCAUGCUGGAGGUAUCAGAAGUGCGAAUGCUGACAUAAGUAACGAUAAAGCGGGUGAAAAGCCCGCUCGCCGGAAGACCAAGGGUUCCUGUCCAACGUUAAUCGGGGCAGGGUGAGUCGACCCCUAAGGCGAGGCCGAAAGGCGUAGUCGAUGGGAAACAGGUUAAUAUUCCUGUACUUGGUGUUACUGCGAAGGGGGGACGGAGAAGGCUAUGUUGGCCGGGCGACGGUUGUCCCGGUUUAAGCGUGUAGGCUGGUUUUCCAGGCAAAUCCGGAAAAUCAAGGCUGAGGCGUGAUGACGAGGCACUACGGUGCUGAAGCAACAAAUGCCCUGCUUCCAGGAAAAGCCUCUAAGCAUCAGGUAACAUCAAAUCGUACCCCAAACCGACACAGGUGGUCAGGUAGAGAAUACCAAGGCGCUUGAGAGAACUCGGGUGAAGGAACUAGGCAAAAUGGUGCCGUAACUUCGGGAGAA